RNAcentral lists this ribosomal RNA (461 nucleotides) under uncultured bacterium. RNAcentral describes it as "bacterial SSU rRNA". It matches the Rfam family "Bacterial small subunit ribosomal RNA", at positions 32 to 507 of the family's 1533-position model. The record is from RNAcentral.
UCAACGCUGGCGGCGUGCCUCAGACAUGCAAGUCGAACGAUUAAAGCUCUCUUCGGAGAGUGUAUAGAGUGGCGCACGGGUGAGUAACACGUAAGUAAUCUACCCUCGAGUGGGGAAUAACAACCGGAAACGGUUGCUAAUACCGCAUAAUGCAGCGGCACCGCAAGGUGACAGUUGUUAAAGAUUUAUCGCUUGAGGAGGAGCUUGCGGCAGAUUAGCUAGUUGGUAGGGUAACGGCUUACCAAGGCUACGAUCUGUAACCGGUCUAAGAGGGCGGUCGGUCACACUGACACUGAAUAACGGGUCAGACUCCUACGGGAGGCAGCAGUCGGAAUUUGGGCAAUGGGCGAAAGCCUGACCCAGCAACGCCGCGUGAAGGAUGAAGUAUUUCGGUAUGUAAACUUCGAAAGAAUAGGAAGAAUUAAUGACGGUACUAUUUAUAAGGUCCGGCUAACUACGUG